GAUGAACGCUAGCGGCAGGCCUAAUACAUGCAAGACGAACGGUAAGUUGAGUAGCAAUACUUAGCCAAGAGUGUCGUACGGGUGCGUAACACGUAUGCAACCUACCCUAUACAGGAGGAUAGCCUAGGGAAACCUGGAUUAACCCUUCAUAGUAUUAUUGGAUGGCAUCAUUUGAUAAUUAAAACUGAGGUGGUAUAGGAUGGGCAUGCGUCUGAUUAGUUAGUUGGCGGGGUAAUGGCCCACCAAGACGAUGAUCAGUAGGGGUUCUGAGAGGAAGAUCCCCCACACUGGCACUGAGAUACGGGCCAGACUCCUACGGGAGGCAGCAGUAGGGAAUAUUGGUCAAUGGAUGCAAGUCUGAACCAGCCAUGCCGCGUGCAGGAAGAAGGCCUUCUGGGUUGUAAACUUGCUUUUGCCAGGGGAUAAAAUUUCCAUGCGUGGAAAACUGAAGGUACCUGGUGAAUAAGCCACGGCUAACUACGUGCCAGCAGCCGCGGUAA
Molecule: ribosomal RNA, 500 nt
Filed under: uncultured bacterium
Lineage: Bacteria
Description: bacterial SSU rRNA
Rfam family: Bacterial small subunit ribosomal RNA
Source: RNAcentral